UCCUGGAAGCUUGGAAAACCCAGGCCAAAUUGUUUCAUUGGGUGUCCCUAGAGUUCGGAAUAUCUUGUCAAGUUGAUCGACUUCAGUUUUUCCAUUAAACAGUGGUUGCUUUGACAAUAAUUCAGCCAUAAUACAACCCAAGGACCACAUGUCAAUUGCUGUAGAAUACUGUCUUGUUCCCAAUAAAAGUUCAGGUGCCCUGUACCAAAG
Molecule: unclassified non-coding RNA, 210 nt
Filed under: Hevea brasiliensis (rubber tree)
Lineage: Eukaryota; Viridiplantae; Streptophyta; Magnoliopsida; Malpighiales; Euphorbiaceae
Source: RNAcentral